RNAcentral lists this long non-coding RNA (11575 nucleotides) under Panax ginseng (ginseng). RNAcentral describes it as "long non-coding RNA (PGIN_LNC008066)". The record is from RNAcentral. Lineage: Eukaryota; Viridiplantae; Streptophyta; Magnoliopsida; Apiales; Araliaceae.
AUUAAAUGAGAUCAAAUUAUUAAUUAAGGGUAAAAUAAUAAAAAUACAAUUGAUGGAGGGAGUAACUAUUUAGAGUAUGGACCGUUAAGAUGCAUUAGCAUUAGCACACAUUAGUGUCAAUCGCCUCUCCCUUUCUUCUUGGUGUCAAUCGCCUUGAUGUCUAAAUUGAGCCAUCAUCUUCUUCUUCUCCAAACAGAAAAGAAGAGGAUGCUCCCAAUCAUCAAUGGCGAGGAGGAAUUCAAUGCCGGACAAUAAUUCUGCGACAGUGAAGAAGCCCCAAUUGGUGACAAAGUGGCUUGCUCUUGCUAACAUCACAAACCAAAGGGAUGCCUCUAUGAAUGUUGUACAUACCACAAUUCUAUCAAAAACUUUGGUAAUUCCCUCCCCAUCUCUUUCUCUCUUAUGGUUUUUACAAAUAAAUUAGUGUGGUGUCUUUUCAUUCUCUCCUAUCCCAUAUAUCUAUAUACCUCUGUAUGGACAUAAUUUUUUUGUGUAUUUAGCAAGACUCUUAGAUUAAAUUUAUUUGCGUGUUUCCCAAAAUGAGAAUGCUAAUUUUGUUACAAAAUUGUAUUACCUGUUAAUUUAAGUAAUCAAUUCAAACCCUAAAUACCCACUCGGCAUAUGAGAUUGUUUACUCAAUGCUUCAUUUGAUUUGAUUAUUAUCAAUUUUAUUUAUUCCUUUAAAUUUGUUAGCUUUGUUGAGGUGUAAAUAUGUGUAUGUGUACACAUGGGCCAAGAGUUGAGGUAUUGGUAUUCCAAAAUUUUGGAGGACUCUGAAUCUGUAGCUAAUAAUAAUUUCUGUUGACUUGAUGUAUUUUUUUGGGAUAAUAUGUGCAAGUAUGCAUGGUUGGGCAGUACAUUUUAAGUGUUUGAUAAAAUGAGUCUGAGAAAAUAUUCUUAUGUUUUAAUGUAUUGACAAGUUUCUUUUGUGGAUACAUCAGUUGUGUCUUGAUGACAAUGCUUAGAAUCUUAUAUCUUCAUCUUCUCUUUUCCACUACAACCUGUAUAACCACAUCAGUAGAAAGAAGAUUUUUGGAUAUUACUUCACAAAUACAGUGAAGAAUUAAACUAAAGAUUUGUAUAAUUAAAAGAAUAAAAAAAACACAAAUAUUCGCUCAAAUUUAAAUAGUGUUGCUGCAUAAUCAAUUACUAUUACUAUAUAAAAAAAGUCGUAUCCCGUUCCUAUCAAGCUGGUGAGUUAUCUCAGUUAGUAUUUAGAGUCGAUAAGGUUUGAUUGAAAAAAUUAAAACGACUCCUUUUCCUUUUCAGCUGCAUUUUUAAACUUUUGAAGUUGUCUAGAAGUUGGUGACACCAUUUAAUAUUGAUUUCCUAAUUUAGGUCAUACAUUAGAAGACGCUGGAUGAAAUUAGUUAUGACCUGUGCCCUGUAAGUGUCUAUCAAUUUUUUUAGAUGAACCAUUUACUUUAACCAGUAUAUGGUCCAUUUCUGAAGUUGUUAAUCUUCCACAGGUGCUUAGUAUUAACAACUGUAUAGAAUCAGCACUAUGUAUUGGGAUGACAAGUAUGACGAACACAACGUUUCACCAUAUACGUAAGCCUACAAUAUCAAGAAAUUGACUAACGUAAAGUAAUUCAUUAGUCUCAAAACUAAAAAUAAAAAGAUUAUGAGUUAAAGGGACGAAGAAGCAAAUUACUGACACAACGAAAGACAGUAGAGAGAAUAGAAACAAUCGCAUGCAUGAAUUGAAUCUAUGUACUCUGCAAUCACAAGAAUUCACAAAGUAAAGGAUAAACCAAAAUAAUAAUAAUGAGGGUUGUCCCUAAUUACAUCUACCUUGCACCAUAUUUAUACUACUUAAAGAAAACCCUAAUCCUAUAAGGAAAUAACAAAUUGAUUUGAAAUCAAAAUCUGCCUAAAAAGCUUCCUAAUUACAAUAGAAUUGAAAAACUUCCUAAAAUUACUAAACAAUAAUUAAAACUACCUGACUACUAAUUAAUAAAAAAAAUACAUCAAAUAUUUAAAUUGUCCAUAAAUACCAAAACAUAAAUUAUAUCGAAUCUUGGCAGAUAACUCUUCCUGUGUCAUUCCACUUUUCUUGGAGAAAAUUCGACCUCAAAUUUUAAAAUGAAGUAACAACAAGUCCCAACCGCUAGACAUUAACAAUCUUCUUUGUACCAUGUAUUCACGAUGUUGUCUCUCAAAGAAAAAUUUUGGAAAUAAUUUUGAAGUAAUCAAAGCCUUAAUUUGUAUUAACCUGUACUUGCAACAAUUGAUUAGGAACGAUGAAAUCAAAAUUUUCGAAGUUGUCGAACAUAGGAUUUUGAACAAUCUCAAUUUUUAUGAUAUUCAUAUCCAUAUGUCGCAAUAACUCCAAAUCAUGAGCAUCCUUAAUUACUAAACUUGAUUCGUCUUUAAUUAUAAUCUCUUCCUCAACUUUCUUCUUUGUGUCUUCCACACUCUAUAAUAACGGACAAAUCACAUGGAACGGACAAAUCACACUUUAUAUUAGAAGUAGGAUUGAUGACAAUACAACUUUUUUAGAGAUUAUUCCUGUUGGCUAUAAUAUUCUUGCAACACCUUCUAACUUCAUUAAAAAAAAUAUCAUUUUGACGCACUUCUCUAACUCUUUUUUUCUCAACUUGAUACUGAUGUUUCAAUCCGGCAAGUCUAUAAUGUGCUUCUUCUAAUUUCUCCAAAAGAUCAUCAUAUUGGGGCAACAAGUUUUUACGAUGACAAACAUAAAUCUCAUAAUUGAACCAAUCACAUUCACUCUUAAGGAAGUCAAUAUAAUCACAUACUUAUUCAAUCUGUGCCUUUGUAGCUUUAGACAUUUUUUCGAUACACAUAUCUGGAUUGAUUCUUUGUCCACUCGUUCCUGUCCAUGCCCUCGAUGAUUAUGUAGCUUGUUAUCUUUGUCAGUACCACGAUCAUCACCUUGAUGUAUGUCGACCCUACCGAAUAGUGCCCUUUCGACCCUGCCGAACCUUUCGUUUAGCCCGUUGAGUGCCACUGCUACAUCACCGGAACUAACAUCCAGCCUAUUGAGUCUACCAAUUAGGGUCCCAGUUGUGACAUCUAGAUUCUGCAACGCAUUCUAGAUGACCGCCAUCCCCUCGUCGUUACAAGGAGGUGGGUUGUCUUGCACACGUUCAACCGUGAUCAAUUCAUAGGCUUGAAUACUCGCUUUGAUACCAACUGACACAACGAAAGACAGUAAAAAAAAUAAAAACAAUCAUAGGAAUUGAAUCUAUAUACUCUGGAAUUACAAGAAUUCACAUAGUAAGGGAUAAAUUGACUAAAUAGCCAAAUAUUUCAUAAACCAGAAUAAUAAUAAUGAGGGUUGUCCCUAAUUACAUCAACCUUACACCAUAUUUAUACUACUUAAAGGAAACCCUAAUCCUUUGGGGAAAUAACAAAUUGAUUUGAAAUCAAAAUUUACCUAAAAAGCUUCCUAAUUAUAAUUGAAUUGAAAAACUUCCUAAAAUUAGUAAAUAAUAAUUAAAACUAUCUGACUACUAAUUAAUAAAUAAAAAUACAUCAAAUAUUUAAAUUGUCUAUAAAUAUCAAAACAUAAAUUAUAUAAAAUCUUGACAUAUAACUCUUCCCGUGUCACAAACACCAAAUAUAGCAUUAAAUCAUGUCAUGCUGAUCAGAAUCAGAAGUUGAUCCAUCAUUUGGUACAUGUUGCUAUUAACUCAGAACUCUUAGUUUGUUUAGUAAUAUGUCACACCGAUUUAUUAGAAUUGAUUGGACUUGAGGUGAUUUCCCAUUUAAAAGAUCUUUUACAUAUAUGUUUGUUAAAAUGCCACAAAACAAAAAUAUAUUUGUUAGUGUAGUAACUUUUUUCUAGUUCACAACCCCUAAUUCUCAUUAGUCUAUCAACAAAAAUGGCAUCAUCCCAAUGGCCUUGCUUUUUCAUCCAUUGUAGGAAGUGGUAAAAGAACUACUCUUUUGUUUUGACUUGCAUUCCGUUGCAUCUAAGGAUUGUUGCAACCAUUAAAUUAGCCCAUGCUUUUGGGUAUUUUCCAUUACUUCACCACAUGUAUGUCAAAAAAUUUAAUAGCUUUUUCUAUUUUGUAUUACUAUUUUUAAAAUUCAUAAUUUGAGUAAAACUUUAAAAAUUUUCAGAAUUAUUCAUAUAAUAUUGUUACUUAAUUCAGUUGGUUAGUGCAUUUUAAUUGUUUGAUGAAAUAAGGCUGAGAGGAUGUUCUUAUGUUUUAAUAGAUGUAUUUUUUGUUAGAUAUAUUCAGAUUUAGGUUAUUCAAUCUAUUAUUUAAACUAGCCAGUGCAUUGCACGGACUAUCAACUAAUAUGUAUAGGAUAUGCAUAAAAAAACUCCUUAAUCCAAAAUUCUAAAACGCAUUUAAAUAUGUUCUCAAAUGAAUCAAUACUAUAGAUUAAGAAUUUAAUUAGGGUAAUGUGAUAUUAGAUAUGAUAGUAAAAUAAUAAUAAUAAAUUUAAAAUACAAUUUAUUGUUCAAUAUUUUUUGAUGUAUAAAAAAGUUUAAUUUAUAGUUUAAAAUAUAUUAUUAUUGGUAAGGGUAUAAUAGUCCAACCGAUAUUUUUUUAUUCAAUCUUUUAAUUAAUCCUAAAAAACAAACAUAACAUGAGAUCAUUUUAAGUUAUUAUAUGAAUAAUCUCAUAAAAAAUAAACAUGUGACUAGGACUAUUUAAUCUUAAGAUUAAUAGUCUUGAGAUUAUAAUUCAAUGUAUUAUAAUCUCGAGAUUAUAAUACUUGCAAACAAACAUGACCCUAGAUUAAUAUAAAACAACAAAUAAUUUUAAAAAAAUAAAAUAAUCUAAAACGUCAUAUACUAUGCUAUGGGAGAGGGAGUAGUAUAUACUCCACUCCUUUUGUAAAUAAAAAUAUAAUUUUUAUGUUUGUUCGUUUUAGAAUUAAAAAAUAUAUCAAUAUUAUAUAAUAACAUAAUAUUUUGAAUUUAUUAUUAUUAAUUAAAUUUGUUUAAAUAAGUUUUGACAAAUAAAAAGUUAAUAUUUAAAUAUAACUAAGACUAAUAAAUUGUUUAUCAAUAAAUUAUUUAAAUAAUACGUUAUUUAUUAAUUAAUUAUUUAAAUAAUAAAUUGUUUAUUAACAAGUUGUUUAAAUAAAUUUUGAUAAAUUAUGAAUGCUUAUUAUUUUAAUACUGAAUCAUUCCCGUUUUCAUAGAAUUGAUCAACUGUUACCAAUCACUCUUUAUUUGCUUUAUCCUGUAGUAUUGAGAUAUGAACAAAUAGUUUAAUGACACUUUGAUCUCAGCAGUUUUUAUUGUAUAGCAAACAGAACCUUCAAUUACAAAAUAUUAUUUUGAUAGAAAAAUAUUUAUUUAUUUUAUCCUGAAUUAUUUUGAGAUAUAUUUUUGACAUUUGGAUGUCCUCUCUUAUGAUUAAAAGACAAACUAAUCAAAAGAUAAACAGAACUUCCGCCAUUUGUAAAAUGUAUAUAAUAGGAUAUUAUGGUAAUUUUUUAAAAAAGACUGAGAAUAAUUUUGUCUAUAGAUCUUUACGCUCUGUUUUUGAGAAAAUGGACAGAAAAGAAAAGAAAUGGACUGAAAAUAUAAGUUUUAUUUUCAAUUCUUAUGUUUCUGAGUUUUUUAAUAAACGGAAAAGAAAAAAAAUAGAUAGAAAACUUGACCACUUUCCUGCCAAAGUUUUUCGUCCAAAAUUGGCCUGAUUUGAACGGAAAAAAAAUUGGAAUAAGUAAUAUUUUUAUAAUUUUCAUAUUAUCCUCAACUUUUAAUAUAAUAAAUUGUAAGACCCCGAAUUUUAUGAAAUAAAAGUAUUCAAUUUUUCUAUUUUAGUAAAUGGUUAAAUUGAUAAAAUUUAAAGUUAAGGAUGACAUUCGAAAAUUUUUCAAAGUAAGCAAGUUAUCAUAAAAUACUCGGUAAUAAAAAUACAGUAAUACGCGUGGUUGCAUAGUAGCACAUAAUAUUAAUUAUUGAUGCUUACGUGAGAAGUUACUCAGUUAUACUCCAUUAUUGUUACAGUAAUUGCUGCAUCAUAUCUUUCAUAUUAUUGAUACAAUUAUUGUCACAAUAUCAUCUGCAUAAAAUGUUAUUUUAUUAAAUCAAUAGUUGAGAUGACAAAGUUAAUCAUAUUAUAAAUUGCAAUAUUUACAAUGUCUAGAAGUUCUAUCAAGGAGAUGUUAGAUAAUCUAAUUGCGCGCCAAUAAGGAGAAAUCCUUAUCGAAAACCCCCUCUUUCCUGAGAACAACCUAGUUGAUAAAUAUUGCGAAUUAUAAUAUUAAUGAUGAAUGUUAUUAGAAAUUGAAGUUGUGUUCGGAGUUGAAUUUGGAGACGCGGGCGUGAUAUUUGAGUCCACAACAGCGAAAUUAGUAAAAAUAAUCUAUAAACACAAAAUUUUCCAGAAUUCACUAUUUGGUCAAAAAGUCAACAGUUGACUUUUUCGAGAAAAGUCAAACAUCAAAAUUUUAAAAUUUAUAUUUUUGAUAAAAAUAGUUUCAUUAUGUUGGAAUUAUUUAUGUUAGUGAAAAUCGACAUUUAUUUCGAUAAUAAUUGAUGUCUGGAGGUUAUAUUGACCAAUCGGGUAUUUAACCGGAUAAAUGAGCAAUUGAUUGCUAUUAUUUCACAUGAUUAUAACUAUUUAUUCACAUGUGUNNNNNNNNNNNNNNNNNNNNNNNNNNNNNNNNNNNNNNNNNNNNNNNNNNNNNNNNNNNNNNNNNNNNNNNNNNNNNNNNNNNNNNNNNNNNNNNNNNNNUAAUUCGUAUUUUCACAUGUCUAGAACUAUUGAGUCACAUGAUUUACUAUUGAGUCACAUGAUUUUACUAUUGAUUCACAUGAUUUACUAUUAGGGGAGUUGGUGCAAAAUUGAUAAUACUUGCAGGACUAAAUUAAAAAGGAAGAAAAAGAGGAAGGUAUUAUAUUGUAAUAUUUCGAGCCCCAAAACGUGUAAUUAUCGAAACUAUGUUUUCCUAUAAAUAAAAGCUCAUUUUUCUUCAUUUCUCACCAAUUCACUAAAGCUAUAGAACAAUUAUUAUAGAGAGAAAUUGUAGAGAGAAAAUCUAUAGAAGAAGAGAAGCCUUCUACCUCACUACUCCUAUAUCCAGUUCUUUCAAAGGUAAGGGAUAUUAUUUGUUUUACCUGUAAGGGUAUUAUUUCUUUCUUAUUCAUGAAGAGAACUUCUGUUAUUCCAUUCUUUAUUAUUCUGUUGGAAUAACCUGUAAACGCGGGAUACCCUAUACAUAAUCUGCAUACGCGGCAUACCCUAUACUUGGUGAAAUCCCUCUGUUAUAUACGUCAAUACCUCAUCUUCAUGUUUAUAUUAUGUUGAAAAUCAUCUGUGGCCUGUAGUGCAUAGAUGGACUUGGUAUGAUUAUGACCAGGGAUUAUUCGGUAUAAUCAUGAUCGUAAUGUUAUAAAUGAUGUGGUAAAAGUCAUCUUUGGCCGUAGUGCAUAGAUGGACUUGGUAUGAUUAUGACCAGGGAUUAUUCGGUAUAAUCAUGACCGUAAUGGAAAACACGAAUAUCUUUGGCCCGUAGUGCAUGAAGGUCGUGAUACUAUUAAGCUAAGUCUCAGCAUUAUUGGUUUUACAGUUGUAUAUCUUUGGCCUGUAGUGCAAAGAUGAACUGUUAAUUAUUGGUUAUACAGUUGUAUAUUUUUAGCCGUAGUGCAAAGAUGAAUUUAUUAGUAUGAUUAUGAGCAAGAAUUGUGAUUUGGUAUAAUCAUGAUUUUUGAUGUUUCAGGUGAAGAUAGGUGAUGUAAAUCAUCUUCUUCCUGGGUGCAAAAAUGAAUUCAGAAUCACAAUUAUGAUUAUGAGUUAUUCAUAUGAUUGUGGACAAGAAUUGUUGAUUGAUGUUAUAGGGAUAUGGUCACUGGUGGAGAUAUUAGUCUAGAACUAGGAGGAGAGAGACGAGUAAUAUACUUCGCUAGGGUGUGACUUACCUAAGCCAAAAUUUUUACUUGAUAAGUUGACAAUUUGUGAUAUGUCAAUUAACCUUUGUUUUGAAGGUAUAUUUUAGAAUGAUAUCUGAAAUACAGGAGAUGAGCAGUGGAAAAAUUAUGAUACACAAGAUAUAACCGGGAAGGUACAAUCUGAAAAGAAAGCAAGGUAUUCUCAUCUCUUCGAACUAUCAGGUACAUAUGCAAAUUUUGAGGGCGAAAUUUCAUAAGGAGGGGAGAUUGUAAGACCCCGAAUUUUAUGAAAUAAAAGUAUUCAAUUUUUUUAUUUUAGUAAAUGGUUAAAUUGAUAAAGUUUAAAGUUAAGGGUGACAUUUGAAAAUUUUUCAAAUUAAGCAAGUUGUCAUAAAAUACCCGGUAGUAAAAGUACAGUAAUACGCGUGGUUGCAUAGUAGCACACAAUAUUAAUUAUUGAUGCUUACGUAAGAAGUCACUCAGUUAUACUCUAUUAUUGCUACAGUAAUUGCUGCAUCAUAUCUCUCAUAUUAUUGAUACAAUUAUUGUCACAGUAUCAUCUGCAUAAAAUGUUAUUUUAUUAAAUCAAUAGUUGAGAUGACAAAGUUAUUCAUAUUAUAAAUUACAAUAUUUACAAUGUCUAGAAGUUCUAUCAAGGAGAGGUUAGAUAAUCUAAUUGCGCGCCAAUAAAGAGAAAUCCUUAUCGAAAAGCCCCCUCUUUCUUGAGAACAAUCUGGUUGAUAAAUAUUGCGAGUUAUAAUAUUAAUGAUGAAUGUUAUUAGAAAUUGAAGUUGUGUUCGAAGUUGAAUUUGGAGAUGCGGGCGUGAUAUUUGAGUCCGGAACGGCGACAUUAGUAAAAAUAGUCUAUAAACACAAAAUUUUCCAAAAUUCACUAUUUGGUCAAAAAGUCAACAGUUGACUUUUUUGAGAAAAGUCAAACUUCGAAAUUUCAAAAUUUAUAUUUUUGAUAAAAAUAGUUUCAUUGUGUUGGAAUUAUUUAUGUUAGUGAAAAUCGACAUUUAUUUCGAAAAUAAUUGAUGUCUGGAGGUUAUAUUGACCAAUCGGGUACUUAACCGGAUAAAUGAGCAAUUGAUUACUAUUAUUUCACAUGAUUAUAACUAUUUGUUCACAUAUGUGUACUAUUGAUUCACAUGAUUUACUAUUAGGGGAGUUGGUGCAAGAUUGAUAAUACUUACAGGACUAAAUUAAAAAGGAAAAAAAAGAGGAAGGUAUUAUACUGUAAUAUUUUGAGCCCCAAAACGUGUAAUUAUCGAAACUAUGUUUUCCUAUAAAUAGAAGCUCAUUCUUCUUCAUUUUUCACCAAUUUACUAAAGCUAUAGAAAAAUUAUUAUAGAGAGAAAUUGUAGAGAGAAAAUCUAUAGAAGAAGAGAAGCCUUCUACCUCACUACUCUUAUAUCCAGUUCUUUCAAAGGUAAGGGAUAUUAUUUGUUGUACUUGUAAGGGUAUUAUUUCUUUCUUAUUCAUGAAAAGAACUUCUGUUAUUCCAUUCUUUAUUAUUCUGUUGGAAUAACCUGUAUACGCGGCAUACCGUAUACAUAACUGCCUACGCGGCAUACCCUAUACUUGGUGAAAUCCCUCUGUUAUUCCAUUCUAUAUUAUUAUGUUGGAAUAACCUGUUUAUGCGAAGUACCGCAUACAUGGUGAAAUUCUUCUAUUAUUCCAUUCUAUAUUAUUAUGUUGGAAUAACCUGUUUAUGCGAAGUACUGCAUACAUGGUGAAAUUCUUCUAUUAUUCCGUUCUUUAUGAUUCUGUCGGAAUAUCCUGCCGGUGCGUAUUACGCCUGACCUGGUUCUAUUAAUUAUUCUGUUGGAAUAACCUGUCUGUGCGGUGUAUCGCAUGCAUGGUGAUUUCUGUUGUUAUUCUAUUCUUUAUUUUUCUAUUGGAAUAUCCUGUCUGUGCGUUUUACGCCGGACCUGGUUCCGUCUUUAUUAUUCUGUUAGGAAUAACCUAUCUGUGUGGUCUCUAUCGCAUGCAUGGUGAAUCCUUCUGUUAUUUCAUUCUUUAUUAUUCUGUUGGAAUAACCUGUCUAUGUGGAUUAACACAUGCAUGGUGAAUGAUCCUUUAUAUUCAUUCCUUAUUAAAUUGUAAAAAUGAUUUGGUUGCGUUGAUUAUGAUGAGAGUCAUAAUAAAAGCUUUGGACUGAGAAAAAUCAUGGGUAUAUGAAGUAUUAGUAAGUGUUAUGAUGAGUUAUGUUGGUUAUUAUGUGAAAACAUAAAAGUUUCUUAGAAAUCACAAAGGGUUGAAAAAUCAGAUUUUGGUAAAAACGGAACACGAAAUUCAAUUGACCAUAUCUCCUAGUAUAUUUCGAAUUUUUGAGUGAGGUCAAGUUCUAGAGUUAGAUCUAUGAGUUUUGUAGCAUCUCCAAGUGGAAUCACUGAAAAAGGUGUUGUAGAUUUUCGUGUGGACUGAUUUUUGUAAAUGAUGAAAAAGUUGGAAAUUGCUAAAAUGCUACUGUCCAGAAAUUUAAAAGGGCAUUUUCGGCCACUUAAUUUGUGAGAAAAAUUUUGGUCUUUUGGGACAUGAAAGUAUAUGGUAUAAGGUAACUCCUGUCCAAAAAUGAGCUCAUUCCGACUUAAAAUGAGCAAGUUAUGACCAUUUCAAUAUUUAGGUUUUUCCAACGAAAAAUGCUAUAAUCGGAGUUCUAUAACUCCGAAGACCAUGAAAUUUAAACUGGAAGCUCAUGUUAACAUGUGUAAGAUUCUGCCAAGAUUUGAGAAUUUUUGGAAUUAACCUUGAGGUAGCUAAUUUCUUAAGGAAUUAAUUAGAAAUUGAUUUUUGAAAAAUAGUAAAUGAAUUUUAAAAAUUCCUAGAAAAAUAUAUGUUCAUUAUGAAACUAUAUUAUGUUAAAUCCCAAAAAAUAAAUAUUUUUGGGACUGAUUUGGUAUUUUUCAUGAAAAUAGUUUAGUUACGAAUAUAUGAGUUAAAUAUGUUAUGUGAAGUAACAAAGUUGGAAAAUAGGAUUUUAUGGCUUGNNNNNNNNNNNNNNNNNNNNNNNNNNNNNNNNNNNNNNNNNNNNNNNNNNNNNNNNNNNNNNNNNNNNNNNNNNNNNNNNNNNNNNNNNNNNNNNNNNNNACCAUUGAUGAUUUAAUGAAUAUCCUUGGCCCGUAGUGCAGGGAUGAUUCGAUGAUGCGGUUUAUUUAAUAAGUUGAGUCUCAGUGAUAAGAAUUGAUGAAAACAUUUUAAAUCAUAGAAGAUAGUAGAUUUUAUUCUUUACUUGACUCUUCUUAUGAAUUGCUUAUUCCGCUGCAGUUAAACUUGAUGUCUAUUGUAUUUUAUCAGUUUAACAUUGUUGAAGACUAUUGAUAAUUUAUUCUGCAUUAUCUUAGUCAUAAUAUUUCUUACUGGGCUAGUUGAGUUUACCCUUUCUUUCACUGUUCUCUUUAGGAAAUGAGAAUAUAGCUGGGACGAGUCGGGGAAAGGAGUGACGGUCCAGAAGAUAGCAUUAGUAGUCCUCGUUAUUCUGUUAAAUAGUGUGACAAUAAAUAUAACGAGGACUGAAUUUGAGUUUGUAUACUGUCUAUGAGGACUCUAAUGAGAAUGGAUAUUUUGUAGAAGGCAGUAUUCUUAUUUAAACUCUUAGUUUAUGUUUUGUCGUAUUUUACACGACAGCUGUAUAGUUAAGUUUGUAUUUGUAUUUUGUACCAUGUAUUUGGCGACUCAGAAUAUGUGAUGUAUACCUAAUUUUGGGGGCGUCGCAUAAAUUUUAAUUUACAACUUAUGUCCUUA